Molecule: ribosomal RNA, 254 nt
Filed under: uncultured bacterium
Lineage: Bacteria
Description: partial 16S ribosomal RNA
Rfam family: Bacterial small subunit ribosomal RNA
Source: RNAcentral
UACGAAGGGGGCUAGCGUUGCUCGGAAUCACUGGGCGCAAAGCGCACGUAGGCGGAUCGUUAAGUCGGGGGUGAAAUCCUGGAGCUCAACUCCAGAACUGCCUCCGAUACUGGCGAUCUUGGAGUCCGGGAGAGGUGAGUGGAACUCCGAGUGUAGAGGUGAAAUUCGUAGAUAUUCGGAAGAACACCAGUGGCGAAGGCGGCUCACUGGCCCGGUACUGACGCUGAGGUGCGAAAGCGUGGGGAGCAAACAGG